Pteropus alecto (black flying fox) is the source of this 1512-nucleotide long non-coding RNA. RefSeq lists it as uncharacterized. NCBI's taxonomy places the organism in Eukaryota, Metazoa, Chordata, Mammalia, Chiroptera, Pteropodidae. The record is from RefSeq and is a predicted model, not a curated record. The transcript is spliced from 3 exons.
GCAGUUGCGUCACUUUAGUUUUGCAAUUUGAGACUCUCCUGGCUCGGUAUCCGUGGUCUCGUUUUGGACUCCUGGGGUUGGCACCGCAUCUGCUAUCCCAAAAGGAAGCUUGUGGAGGUUAUUUUCCACCAUAUAAAGGAGGAAACCAAGAAAAAGAAAGACAUGGUCCAGGAAACAGAGAAUCUAACACAGAAGAGAGGGAAUGGGGAUUCCCAAGAUACCGUCUGGGUGGCAGGUCUAAACAGCCUGAAGCAGAAGAAUGGAAGGUAUCAGGAAGACUAGCACCCAAAAAUUAAUUUUAUGGGUUUAGACCAGUGGUUUCUUUGAGGAGAAAAGAAAGGUGUGGCGGUAUAUCCAUUUUUGCACCCAAACACUUCUCCAUUUCUGGGGGAAUACUUCAUGUUAUCAAACUUGGUGAGGCAACACGAUUCUUCCCCUGCCUGGCUAAAUCAGCACACGUCAGACCAUGGCUCAACCGAUCAAAUGCUUUCACUUGGCAUUUUGAAACUCAAGUAAUUGUCCUAAAGAUGCAGGUGCAACUGGAACAAUAUCCAUUGUGUAGUGAUGAGUGCCCAGAGUUGAUGGCAUCAGCAGUGGACAUUUCCAGGGACGAGACCUGAGCUGCAUUUUCGUUUGGCGGUCCCUCAUAGAUAACUGCUUUCUGAGUUACGUUCUCCAGCUUUCCUUCAACUCUGUGAGUCCCUACCAUGCCUCUAGUAUACGCCUUUUCUGCUUAAAGUGUCCAGAGUGGAUAUGUUUCCUUCCGAGAACUGACAGUGAACAACUAAGAAGAAAGUACCUCUAACCCCGUAGAAAGGGGAUUACACAAUAAUGCAAGCAACAGGUUAACAAUACUCUUCAGAUCAGGCAGAACUAUCCCUUCAAAUUGUAGGAAAGCUUCCGAUAGAAAUUAUGUCUAGAAAAAGUGGGUAGGUAUUUUCAAAAGAUAUCUCUUUCAUGAUGUACAAAGAAAUUUUCUUUCUCUGACAGCUGUGUGUGAGUGUAUCAAGUUUCACUAGACUGAAAGCUCCCUGAGGACAAGGAUCCUCUUUCAUCUUUUAAUUCGCCACAGCCUUGUGUGUAGAAAGCUCUCAAAACUACACAUAUGAACACCUUUGUCUUUACUAUCGUGCAUUAGAUUGCUAAAUUCGUGUUCACACCUCUGACUUAAUCUUAGAUUUAGAAUUUCCUACGGACUUUGUCUUAAUUGAAACCCAACAGGGGCUCCAGGGAUCUCUUCUUAGUGGUCAUUUGCAAUAUGGGGAACUAGUAGUAUUUCUCAAGAUGGGGUUGAGAAUUCCGUGAAAAAUCCAGGAAGGGGGCACCCGGAUUUGAACCGGGGACCUCUUGAUCUGCAGUCAAAUGCUCUACCCCUGAGCUAUACCCCCUUGACCUGACACUUGUCUUGCUCCUUGUCCACUUAUGGUGACUCAGUGCAAUCAGGUUCCACCCACACUAAUUCUGACAUGUUCUAAAGACUUACCUUCUUUUGUGUCCAUCAUCUGCUUGGGC